Molecule: transfer RNA, 72 nt
Filed under: Monodelphis domestica (gray short-tailed opossum)
Lineage: Eukaryota; Metazoa; Chordata; Mammalia; Didelphimorphia; Didelphidae
Rfam family: tRNA
About the family: Transfer RNA (tRNA) molecules are approximately 80 nucleotides in length. Their secondary structure includes four short double-helical elements and three loops (D, anti-codon, and T loops).
Source: Rfam by way of RNAcentral
GGCAAUGUAGCAUAAUGGAAAGAGCCCUGGACUGAAAGUCAGAGGACUUGAGUUCAAAUCCCAUCUUUGCCA